CCUACGGGGGGCAGCAGUGAGGAAUAUUGGUCAAUGGACGGAAGUCUGAACCAGCCAUGCCGCGUGCAGGAAGACGGCUCUAUGAGUUGUAAACUGCUUUUGUACAAGGGUAAACCUGAAUACGUGUAUUCAGCUGAAAGUACUGUACGAAUAGGAUCGGCUAACUCCGUGCCAGCAGCCGCGGUAAUACGGAGGAUCCAAGCGUUAUCCGGAUUUAUUGGGUUUAAAGGGUGCGUAGGCGGAAGGUUAAGUCAGCGGUCAAAUGUCGGUGCUCAACACCGGCCUGCCGUUGAAACUGGUCUUCU
RNAcentral lists this ribosomal RNA (305 nucleotides) under uncultured bacterium. Its description in RNAcentral is "bacterial SSU rRNA". It matches the Rfam family "Bacterial small subunit ribosomal RNA", at positions 338 to 642 of the family's 1533-position model. The record is from RNAcentral.